GCCUUCGUAGUGUAAGAGUAGCACACUCAGCCCGUAUUCUAGAGAUCCAGGUUCGAGUCCCGGCGAAGGCA
This is a non-coding RNA of Stegodyphus mimosarum, 71 nucleotides long. Lineage: Eukaryota; Metazoa; Arthropoda; Arachnida; Araneae; Eresidae. The record is from Rfam.